RNAcentral lists this ribosomal RNA (292 nucleotides) under uncultured bacterium. RNAcentral describes it as "partial 16S ribosomal RNA". It matches the Rfam family "Bacterial small subunit ribosomal RNA", at positions 505 to 796 of the family's 1533-position model. The record is from RNAcentral.
GUGCCAGCAGCCGCGGUAAUACGGAGGGUGCAAACGUUGCUCGGAAUCAUUGGGCGUAAAGCGCGCGUAGGCGGCGAGGCAAGUUGGAUGUGAAAGCCCUGGGCUCAACCUAGGAUGUGCAUACAAAACUGCCUCGCUUGAAUCUCGGAGGGGGUCAGGGAAUUCCCGGUGUAGAGGUGAAAUUCGUAGAUAUCGGGAGGAACACCAGUGGCGAAGGCGCUGACCUGGACGAUGAUUGACGCUGAGGCGCGAAAGCGUGGGGAGCAAACAGGAUUAGAUACCCCCGUAGUCC